This 253-nucleotide ribosomal RNA is filed under the name uncultured bacterium. RNAcentral describes it as "partial 16S ribosomal RNA". It matches the Rfam family "Bacterial small subunit ribosomal RNA", at positions 524 to 776 of the family's 1533-position model. The record is from RNAcentral.
UACGGAGGGUGCAAGCGUUGCUCGGAAUCACUGGGCGUAAAGGGUGCGUAGGCGGUUUGUCGCGUCGGGAGUGAAAACUCAGGGCUUAACCCUGAGCCUGCUUCCGAUACGGGCAGACUAGAGGUAUGCAGGGGAGAAUGGAAUUCCUGGUGUAGCGGUGAAAUGCGCAGAUAUCAGGAGGAACACCGGUGGCGAAGGCGGUUCUCUGGGCAUUACCUGACGCUGAGGAGCGAAAGUGUGGGGAGCGAACAGG